GACAGUGUCCCCCCUCCCCGAUGUUAGAGGCCCUCCCUUUCCUGAUGUACCCCCUGUGCUGCUGUUGGUUGAUUCUCAGUGUUAGUAGUUUGUGAGCCAUGCCUGCCAUGGACCCCAAAGGGGGGCCGUGCCUGUGGCGGGCUGGGAGUGGAAUUUCCCUGGGUCAUAGGGUUUUUGCCCUCCCUCCUAGGCUGGAUGGACAGGAUUGUGUGUGGGACUCCUUGGAGUCCCAAAGGGGGAAAUAUAUGGAAUAUUAUUUAGCACUAUAUAACAUAGAAUACAAGUAUUAUGAUAUUAUUAAAAAGUGUGUCAAAUAUCCAUGAUGUAAUCAUUACAAUAUAAACAUUGCUUUGUGUUGAUUACAAUAUAAUCAACUGAGUAUGUAUUUGCACCUUUUGUUAGUCUGAGAUUCUGUUAUCUACUUUAUGUUAGUCCUGAAUCUAUGAAUAUUCUUUUAUUAACGUAUAUUUUAUCACAAUGUUAAAGGAUAAAUAUAUUAUCAACCUUUUAGUCAGACAAUGUGUAAAAGGCUGAAACUGCCUAGGUUUACUACUGAAGGAAGGGAUUCGCCUGAGUUCACCCGAAGUUCACGGCUGAGCAUUUUUAAAAAACCAAGUGGAGCUGCUCGUGCCACCAUUAUGUUCAGCCGAGAGACCAAACUGUAAAAGAAAUGAUGGACAAACUUGUCACCUAGGGGUGUGGAUUAAGGGAAAAAACAAUUAUUGUGAAUGGCUGAAGGAAUGAUGAUGCUUAAGUGACAAGAUAUUGUUAAAUGAUAAGAACUUAUAAAAAUUGGUGUAAAACAGUACUGGACACACUUUUACGUGUCCAGCCUUGGUUGUAACUUUAUUGUUGCAAUAAAGACUGAAUUCUGGAUACUGCACAA
Molecule: long non-coding RNA, 886 nt
Organism: Brienomyrus brachyistius
Lineage: Eukaryota; Metazoa; Chordata; Actinopteri; Osteoglossiformes; Mormyridae
Exons: 2
Source: RefSeq, a predicted model, not a curated record